GCGCCCUCCUCAUCCAUCCGUCUGACCAUCCAUUACCCAUACGUACAUCAUCCAUCCAUCCAUCUUCUCCAUGCAUGUUCCAUCCAUCAUCCAUUCACCCACCUAUCCAUCCACCCACCCAUCCAUCCACCUGUCCAUCCAGAGAAGGCCAGAUAUGUGUCAGGAAUAGAGGUCAGCAGAAUAAACGUGGUCCUUGCCCUCAGGGACCUUUCAGCCUAGAAGAGGGGUCAGGCAUUAAUCGAAUAAGUAUAUACUUAGGAAACAAGGUAUAUGCUAUAGAAGAAGUCAAAGGUCAUGACAUUAUAUUGGGGAGAAGACGGGACCCGAGCUCAUCCAGGAGAUUGGAGGUUUCUGUGAGCGAUUAACAUUUGUGCUAAGAUCUGAAGGCCAAACAGAAGUAAACAAGGUAUGAGAAGAUGCAAGAAAUUGGACUCAGAAAAUCUGCUGAAAAUAUCUAACUAUCUGAAGACCUGUUCUGCCAGUUUUUCCCAGAGUACAGAGCACUUCAUUCCUGAUCUCCACCCUGACCUCCUUUCAGGCUCCCCAAACCCUUGGAAUUUCCUAACUGUUAAGAGCAUAAAUGUGUCUCGUUAUAUGAAUGAGCUGACUUUUGGAAAGCACCUAAGGAUGGGAGCUGGUUGCCAGGAGAACCAACUAAGUGACUAGAGGGUUGGAAAUUUCAGUCCCACCCUUGAGCUCUGGGGAGGGGAGAAGUGAAGAACGGCGGGUUGAAUUAAUCGCCAAGGGCCAAGAGUUCAUCAAUCGUGCAUGUGUAAUGAAUCCUCCAUAGAGACCCAAAAGGACGGGGUUCUGGGAGCUCCCGAGUUGGUGAACGUGUGCAGAUCUGGGGAGAGCACUGCCUGGAAAGCAUGGAAGCUCUGAAUCCUUUCUCACACCUUGCCCUGUGCACCUCUUCCAUCUGGCUGUUCCUGAGUUCAUAACCUUUUAAAAUAAAUCUGUGAUCUAGCAAGUAACAAGGUUCUCUGAGUUCUGUGAGCCACUCUAGCAAAUUCAUCGAUCCCAAGGAGGGUUGGGAACCUCUGACUUAUAGCCAGUGGCUUGGAAGCACAGGUGACAACCUGCACUUGGGGCUGGUGUCUGAAGUCCAAGGAGGAGGUCGUGGGAACCUCCAGUCUGUAGCCGGUGAGUCAGAAGCGCAGGUAGCAACCUAGACUUGCAGUUGACGUCUGACGUGGGCGUGCGGGCGUUGUGCGACUGGAUCUGUAACCUUCAGGCUCUGACGCCACCUCGGAGCAGGUAGCGUGAGAACUGAGCUGAAUUCUCAGGCGCCCCGCCGGUGUCUGAGAAUUGUUUGUUGGUGGGGUGUGGGGGGACUACCCCGAGAUUAGAAGUGGAGUCUCAG
Long non-coding RNA from Lagenorhynchus albirostris (white-beaked dolphin), 1363 nucleotides. RefSeq lists it as uncharacterized. The transcript is spliced from 3 exons. Lineage: Eukaryota; Metazoa; Chordata; Mammalia; Artiodactyla; Delphinidae. The record is from RefSeq and is a predicted model, not a curated record.